This 253-nucleotide ribosomal RNA is filed under the name uncultured bacterium. RNAcentral's name for it is "partial 16S ribosomal RNA". It matches the Rfam family "Bacterial small subunit ribosomal RNA", at positions 524 to 776 of the family's 1533-position model. The record is from RNAcentral.
UACGUAGGGGGCUAGCGUUGUCCGGAAUCAUUGGGCGUAAAGCGCGUGUAGGCGGUCCGGUAAGUCCGCUGUGAAAGUCGGGGGCUCAACCCUCGGAUGCCGGUGGAUACUGUCGGGCUUGAGCUUACUAGAGGCAGAUGGAAUUCCGGGUGUAGCGGUGGAAUGCGUAGAGAUCCGGAAGAACACCGGUGGCGAAGGCGGUCUGCUGGGGUAAUGCUGACACUGAUGCGCGACAGCGUGGGGAGCAAACAGG